This is a long non-coding RNA of Hibiscus syriacus, 147 nucleotides long. RefSeq lists it as uncharacterized. The record is from RefSeq and is a predicted model, not a curated record. The transcript has 3 exons. Lineage: Eukaryota; Viridiplantae; Streptophyta; Magnoliopsida; Malvales; Malvaceae.
UUCACCUGUCCAAUCACCCCAUCGAACUUAUCGCCAAUCAAAGCAAUGAUAUCGUCAACAGAAAGAAUUGUUUUCUUCUCGGUACAUAUCUGAAAAGAAAAUCGGAUUCCAUCAAAAGAAGAAGAAAAGAAACAAAAAAUUUCAGCU